Molecule: ribosomal RNA, 468 nt
Filed under: uncultured bacterium
Lineage: Bacteria
Description: partial 16S ribosomal RNA
Rfam family: Bacterial small subunit ribosomal RNA
Source: RNAcentral
GACGAACGCUGGCGGCGUGCUUAACACAUGCAAGUCGAACGGAAAGGCCCUGCUUUUGUGGGGUGCUCGAGUGGCGAACGGGUGAGUAACACGUGAGUAACCUGCCCUUGACUUUGGGAUAACUUCAGGAAACUGGGGCUAAUACCGGAUAGGAGCUCCUGCUGCAUGGUGGGGGUUGGAAAGUUUCCGCGGUUGGGGAUGGACUCGCGGCUUAUCAGCUUGUUGGUGGGGUAGUGGCUUACCAAGGCUUUGACGGGUAGCCGGCCUGAGAGGGUGACCGGCCACAUUGGGACUGAGAUACGGCCCAGACUCCUACGGGAGGCAGAAGUGGGGAAUAUUGCACAAUGGGCGGAAGCCUGAUGCAGCAACGCCGCGUGCGGGAUGACGGCCUUCGGGUUGUAAACCGCUUUCGCCUGUGACGAAGCGUGAGUGACGGUAAUGGGUAAAGAAGCACCGGCUAACUACGUG